Long non-coding RNA from Melanotaenia boesemani (Boeseman's rainbowfish), 178 nucleotides. RefSeq lists it as uncharacterized. The transcript is spliced from 3 exons. Lineage: Eukaryota; Metazoa; Chordata; Actinopteri; Atheriniformes; Melanotaeniidae. The record is from RefSeq and is a predicted model, not a curated record.
AGCCUUGGCUCAGGGGAGGUUUGAACAGUGGCCUUUUUGUGUGGAGUUUGCAUGUUCUCCCCAUGUAUGUGUGGGUUCUCUCAGGGUACUCCGGUUUCCUCCAACCGUCCAAAGACAUGCAUGUUAGGUUAAUUGGUCACUUAUAAUUCUCCCUUGGAGUGAAUGCGAGUAUGAAUGG